CAAGAGCGUAUAUUAAAGUUGUUGCAGUUAAAAAGCUCGUAGUUGGAUUUCUGGUACAAUGCGCCUGACCCGCGGCAGUAAUGCCUGUGAGUGUCGGUGCGCGUUUACCAUCCUUCUAGGGAACGUUCCUUCUCUUCACUGAGCCGGGUUCGUGAUCUAGAUCGUUUACUUUGAAAAAUUAGAGUGUUCAAAGCGGGCGUUUGCUUGAAUAUAUUAGCAUGGAAUAAUGGAAUAGGACCCUGGUCCUAUUUUGUUGGUUUUGAGGACUAGAGUAAUGAUUAAUAGGGAUAGUUGGGGGCAUUCAUAUUUAAUUGUCAGAGGUGAAAUUCUUGGAUUUAUGAAAGAUGAACUUCUGCGAAAGCAUUUGCCAAGGAUGUUUUCAUUAAUCAAGAACGAAAGUUAGGGGAUCGAAGACGAUUAGAUACCAU
This 428-nucleotide ribosomal RNA is filed under the name uncultured eukaryote. Its description in RNAcentral is "bacterial SSU rRNA". It matches the Rfam family "Eukaryotic small subunit ribosomal RNA", at positions 592 to 1018 of the family's 1831-position model. The record is from RNAcentral.